RNAcentral lists this ribosomal RNA (253 nucleotides) under uncultured bacterium. RNAcentral's name for it is "partial 16S ribosomal RNA". It matches the Rfam family "Bacterial small subunit ribosomal RNA", at positions 524 to 776 of the family's 1533-position model. The record is from RNAcentral.
UACAGAGACUGCAAGCGUUAUUCGGAUUCACUGGGCGUAAAGGGUGCGCAGGCGGUCAAGUGUGUCAGGUGUGAAAUCCCGAGGCUCAACCUCGGAACUGCGCCUGAAACUACUUGGCUAGAGUACUGGAGAGGGUAACGGAAUUCACGGUGUAGCAGUGAAAUGCGUAGAUAUCGUGAGGAACGCCAGAGGCGAAGGCGGUUACCUGGAGAGUUACUGACGCUGGGGCACGAAAGCGUGGGGAGCAAAAGGG